AUGAACGCUGGCGGCGUGCCUAAUACAUGCAAGUCGAGCGAACAGAUGAGGAGCUUGCUCCUCUGACGUUAGCGGCGGACGGGUGAGUAACACGUGGAUAACCUACCUAUAAGACUGGGAUAACUUCGGGAAACCGGAGCUAAUACCGGAUAAUAUAUUGAACCGCAUGGUUCAAUAGUGAAAGACGGUUUUGCUGUCACUUAUAGAUGGAUCCGCGCCGCAUUAGCUAGUUGGUAAGGUAACGGCUUACCAAGGCAACGAUGCGUAGCCGACCUGAGAGGGGGAUCGGCCACACUGGAACUGAGACACGGUCCAGACUCCUACGGGAGGCAGCAGUAGGGAAUCUUCCGCAAUGGGCGAAAGCCUGACGGAGCAACGCCGCGUGAGUGAUGAAGGUCUUCGGAUCGUAAAACUCUGUUAUUAGGGAAGAACAAAUGUGUAAGUAACUAUGCACGUCUUGACGGUACCUAAUCAGAAAGCCACGGCUAACUACGUG
Molecule: ribosomal RNA, 496 nt
Filed under: uncultured bacterium
Lineage: Bacteria
Description: partial 16S ribosomal RNA
Rfam family: Bacterial small subunit ribosomal RNA
Source: RNAcentral